Molecule: ribosomal RNA, 502 nt
Filed under: uncultured bacterium
Lineage: Bacteria
Description: bacterial SSU rRNA
Rfam family: Bacterial small subunit ribosomal RNA
Source: RNAcentral
GGCUCAGGAUGAACGCUAGCUACAGGCUUAACACAUGCAAGUCGAGGGGAAACGAUAUUGGAAGCUUGCUUCUGAUAGGCGUCGACCGGCGCACGGGUGAGUAACGCGUAUCCAACCUGCCCAUCACUUGGGGAUAACCUUCGUGAAAGUAAGACUAAUACCCCAAUGACGUCUCUAGAAGACAUCUGAAAGAGAUUAAAAGAUUUAUCGGUGAUGGAUGGGGAUGCGUCUGAUUAGCUUGUUGCGGGGUAACGGCCCACCAAGGCGACGAUCAGUAGGGGGUUCUGAGAGGAAGGCCCCCCACAUUGGAACUGAGACACGGUCCAAACUCCUACGGGAGGCAGCAGUGAGGAAUAUUGGUCAAUGGACGAGAGUCUGAACCAGCCAAGUAGCGUGCAGGAUGACGGCCCUAUGGGUUGUAAACUGCUUUUAUAAAGGAAUAAAGUCGGGUAUGGAUACCCGUUUGCAUGUACUUUAUGAAUAAGGAUCGGCUAACUCCGUG